This 494-nucleotide ribosomal RNA is filed under the name uncultured bacterium. Its description in RNAcentral is "bacterial SSU rRNA". It matches the Rfam family "Bacterial small subunit ribosomal RNA", at positions 903 to 1397 of the family's 1533-position model. The record is from RNAcentral.
AAAUGAAUAGACGGGGACCCGCACAAGCGGUGGAGCAUGUGGUUUAAUUCGAAGCAACGCGAAGAACCUUACCUGGUCUUGACAUCCUUUUGACCGGUCCGUUACAGGACCUUUCCUUCGGGACAGAAGUGACAGGUGGUGCAUGGUUGUCGUCAGCUCGUGUCGUGAGAUGUUGGGUUAAGUCCCGCAACGAGCGCAACCCUUAUCUUUAGUAGCCAGCAGUUCGGCUGGGCACUCUAGAGAGACUGCCAGGGAUAACCUGGAGGAAGGUGGGGAUGACGUCAAAUCAUCAUGCCCCUUAUGAUCAGGGCUACACACGUGCUACAAUGGCGUAAACAAAGAGAAGCGACCCCGCGAGGGCAAGCAAACCUCAAAAAUAACGUCUCAGUUCGGAUUGUAGUCUGCAACUCGACUACAUGAAGCUGGAAUCGCUAGUAAUCGCGAAUCAGAAUGUCGCGGUGAAUACGUUCCCGGGUCUUGUACACACCGCCCGU